AGUUAAGAAGCCACAGAUAAGCCUAAUGUCUUGAAAACAUUAUGAAAGAAGUUUAAAUCUUCUAUUAACUU
Molecule: transfer RNA, 71 nt
Filed under: Sphaerotermes sphaerothorax
Lineage: Eukaryota; Metazoa; Arthropoda; Insecta; Blattodea; Termitidae
Description: tRNA-Ser
Rfam family: tRNA
About the family: Transfer RNA (tRNA) molecules are approximately 80 nucleotides in length.
Source: RNAcentral